AGGACGAACGCUGGCGGCGUGCCUAAAACAUGCAAGUCGAACGGUGUAGCAAUACACAGUGGCGAACGGCGGAGUAAUACAUAAGAAACGUGCCCUGAAGACCGGGAUAGUCAUUGGAAACGAUGGGUAAUACCGGAUGUGGUCGCAGCUUGGCAUCAAGCAGCGAUUAAAAUGGUUUUUCGCUUCAGGAGCGUCUUAUGGCCUAUCAGGUAGUUGGUGGGGUAAUGGCCUACCAAGCCGACGACGGGUAGCGGGUCUGAGAGGAUGAUCAGCCACAUUGGGACUGAGACACGGCCCAAAAUCCUACGGAGGCAGCAGUGGGGAAUAUUGGACAAUGGGCGAAAAGCCUGAUCCAGCAAUGCCGCGUGUGUGAAGAAGGUCUUCGGAUUGUAAAAGCACUUUCGACGGGACGAAGCGAAAGUAGACGGUACCUGCAGAAGAAGCGCCGGCUAACUAACGUGCCAGCAGCCGC
RNAcentral lists this ribosomal RNA (472 nucleotides) under uncultured bacterium. RNAcentral's name for it is "SSU rRNA". It matches the Rfam family "Bacterial small subunit ribosomal RNA", at positions 26 to 518 of the family's 1533-position model. The record is from RNAcentral.